GGGGCUGCACAUGGAUUCGAUAGGGAGGCCCUCGGUAAUUUUAGUGCCAUGGCGGGAUCGCGCUGUCUCCCGCUAGAUCCGUCCAGCGCAACUCUACGUGCUAACGUAACCAAAUUGGAUGAGUCUGUUGUUGCAUUCAUCAACAGUAUUCGUCUGGCACCGGAACUUGUUCCGGUUGCCUAAUCGUCUGACCUUAACUCGGACGUCGUCCACUCUCUGAUUUCUCCUGCGGGAAUCUGGGCGUAACUUAGGAGGAUAAUCCCAGGGGCUCGUUCGCCCCCAGGGCCGAAAACUUAGAACUAAGCGAGUGAGGUUUUUUGUCCGCCCUUUAUCUUACUCGUCGAAAACUCAGGACGGACUGUCAUGGAAGAUCUAGGAUGCCGACUCUCUACACGUGGGUUCGAUCCCCACCAGCUCCACCA
Molecule: transfer-messenger RNA, 422 nt
Filed under: bacterium
Lineage: Bacteria
Rfam family: transfer-messenger RNA
About the family: Bacterial tmRNA, also known as 10Sa RNA or SsrA, is named for its dual tRNA and mRNA-like properties. Its role is to liberate the mRNA from a stalled ribosome.
Source: RNAcentral